UACGCUGGCCGCGUGCCUAAUACAUGCAAGUCGAGCGGACAGAUGGGAGCUUGCUCCCUGAUGUUAGCGGCGGACGGGUGAGUAACACGUGGGUAACCUGCCUGUAAGACUGGGAUAACUCCGGGAAACCGGGGCUAAUACCGGAUGGUUGUUUGAACCGCAUGGUUCAGACAUAAAAGGUGGCUUCGGCUACCACUUACAGAUGGACCCGCGGCGCAUUAGCUAGUUGGUGAGGUAACGGCUCACCAAGGCGACGAUGCGUAGCCGACCUGAGAGGGUGAUCGGCCACACUGGGACUGAGACACGGCCCAGACUCCUACGGGAGGCAGCAGUAGGGAAUCUUCCGCAAUGGACGAAAGUCUGACGGAGCAACGCCGCGUGAGUGAUGAAGGUUUUCGGAUCGUAAAGCUCUGUUGUUAGGGAAGAACAAGUGCCGUUCAAAUAGGGCGGCACCUUGACGGUACCUAACCAGAAAGCCACGGCUAACUACGUGCCAGCAGCCGCGGUAAUACGUAGGUGGCAAGCGUUGUCCGGAAUUAUUGGGCGUAAGGGCUCGCAGG
RNAcentral lists this ribosomal RNA (560 nucleotides) under Bacillus sp. Ni4. Its description in RNAcentral is "bacterial SSU rRNA". It matches the Rfam family "Bacterial small subunit ribosomal RNA", at positions 32 to 575 of the family's 1533-position model. Lineage: Bacteria; Bacillati; Bacillota; Bacilli; Caryophanales; Bacillaceae. The record is from RNAcentral.